AUCGGUCACUGUACAGUUCCUGGCCAUCGCAUGGACCAGAUGCCUCUUUCCAUAGGCGUUGGCCACUGUGGCUCCAUUCAGCUUGGACUUUGCUCCCUGGAUCUGUGUGUGCAAUGGUCAGGGGCUUUUCUUAUACUUGGACAAAGUGACAUGCACAAACGCAGAGCCCAGGAACCCAGAUGGCUGGGGCCCAGGUCGACCAAGCUCCAGCCUGGUAAACCAGGCAGAGAUGAACAUGCAAACCAUGGCGCAGGGGCAGGGUGGGGCUCAAAUGUGGGGCCCAGGAUGCUGAGUCCAGGAGCUCGCAAGUAAGUUGUUCACA
RNAcentral lists this long non-coding RNA (322 nucleotides) under Cavia porcellus (domestic guinea pig). RNAcentral's name for it is "lncRNA (ENSCPOG00000031714.1)". Lineage: Eukaryota; Metazoa; Chordata; Mammalia; Rodentia; Caviidae. The record is from RNAcentral.